GCCCCCCCGGGCCGCCCGCAGCCCCUGCCGGGGGGGGAGCCGGCCGCCUGCGCCCAGCGGGACGCGCCGGAGGACGCCGAGCGGACGGGGCGACGCCCGCCUGCAGCCCUCGCCCGGGGCUGUGCCCGCUGCCCUGAGCGCCUGCCCGCCAAGGACUUCGCCUUCGCGUGCGCCCCGCCGCCGGUGCUGUGGAGCCUGCCGGGAGGGGCGGUGGGCAGGAAGAAGAGGCUUUUCAGCUCGGAGCUGCUGCUGCUCUUCAUCCCCUCGCUGCUGCUCAGCCACGUGCUGACGCUGGGGCUGGGGAUCUACAUUGGGAAGCGGCUGGCAGCCUCCUCAGCAAACCCGCUGUGAGGAGCUGAGAUCGGCGAGGGACAGGCGGCUCUGCCGCUCC
RNAcentral lists this long non-coding RNA (391 nucleotides) under Anser cygnoides (Swan goose). RNAcentral's name for it is "lncRNA (ENSACDG00005015229.1)". The record is from RNAcentral. Lineage: Eukaryota; Metazoa; Chordata; Aves; Anseriformes; Anatidae.